This 241-nucleotide ribosomal RNA is filed under the name uncultured Actinomyces sp. RNAcentral describes it as "partial 16S ribosomal RNA". It matches the Rfam family "Bacterial small subunit ribosomal RNA", at positions 96 to 334 of the family's 1533-position model. The record is from RNAcentral. Lineage: Bacteria; Bacillati; Actinomycetota; Actinomycetes; Actinomycetales; Actinomycetaceae.
UGGCGAACGGGUGAGUAACACGUGAGUAACCUGCCCUCUUCUUUGGGAUAACGCCCGGAAACGGGUGCUAAUACUGGAUAUUCACUUGCCUUCGCAUGGGGGUGGGUGGAAAGGGUUUUUUCUGGUGGGGGAUGGGCUCGCGGCCUAUCAGCUUGUUGGUGGGGUGAUGGCUUACCAAGGCUUUGACGGGUAGCCGGCCUGAGAGGGUGACCGGUCACAUUGGGACUGAGAUACGGCCCAG